UCCCUGGUGGCUCAGUGGUAAAGAAUCUGCCUGCCAAUGCAGGAGACACAGGUUCCAUCCCUGAUCUGGGAA
Molecule: non-coding RNA, 72 nt
Organism: Bos taurus (domestic cattle)
Lineage: Eukaryota; Metazoa; Chordata; Mammalia; Artiodactyla; Bovidae
Source: Rfam